UACAGAGGGUGCGAGCGUUAAUCGGAAUUACUGGGCGUAAAGCGCGCGUAGGCGGCUUUGCAAGUCGAGUGUGAAAUCCCCAGGCUUAACCUGGGAACUGCAUUCGAGACUGCAUAGCUAGAGUAUGGGAGAGGGAAGUGGAAUUUCAGGUGUAGCGGUGAAAUGCGUAGAUAUCUGAAGGAACAUCAGUGGCGAAAGCGGCUCUCUAGUACGGUACUGACGCUGAGACGCGAAAGCGUGGGGAGCGAACAGG
Molecule: ribosomal RNA, 253 nt
Filed under: uncultured bacterium
Lineage: Bacteria
Description: partial 16S ribosomal RNA
Rfam family: Bacterial small subunit ribosomal RNA
Source: RNAcentral